AUAGCGGAGAAAGAAACCAACAGGGAUUGCCCUAGUAACGGCGAGUGAAGCGGCAACAGCUCAAAUUUGAAAUCUGGCGUCUUUGGCGUCCGAGUUGUAAUUUGCAGAGGGCGCUUUGGCAUUGGCAGCGGUCCAAGUUCCUUGGAACAGGACGUCACAGAGGGUGAGAAUCCCGUACGUGGUCGCUAGCCUUUACCGUGUAAAGCCCCUUCGACGAGUCGAGUUGUUUGGGAAUGCAGCUCUAAAUGGGAGGUAAAUUUCUUCUAAAGCUAAAUACUGGCCAGAGACCGAUAGCGCACAAGUAGAGUGAUCGAAAGAUGAAAAGCACUUUGGAAAGAGAGUUAAAAAGCACGUGAAAUUGUUGAAAGGGAAGCGCUUGCAGCCAGACUUGCCUGUAGUUGCUCAUCCGGGUUUUUACCCGGUGCACUCUUCUACGGGCAGGCCAGCAUCAGUUUGGGCGGUUGGAUAAAGGUCUCUGUCAUGUACCUCCUCUCGGGGAGAACUUAUAGGGGAGACGACAUGCAACCAGCCCGGACUGAGGUCCGCGCAUCUGCUAGGAUGCUGGCGUAAUGGCUGUAAGCGGCCCGUCUUGAAACACGGACCAAGGAGUCUAACAUCUAUGCGAGUGUUUGGGUGUCAAGCCCGAGCGCGUAAUGAAAGUGAACGGAGGUGGGAACCUUUCGGGGUGCACCAUCGACCGAUCCUGAUGUCUUCGGAUGGAUUUGAGUAAGAGCAUAGCUGUUGGGACCCGAAAGAUGGUGAACUAUGCUUGAAUAGGGUGAAGCCAGAGGAAACUCUGGUGGAGGCUCGCAGCGGUUCUGACGUGCAAAUCGAUCGUCAAAUUUGGGCAUAGGGGCGAAAGACUAAUCGAACUAUCUAGUAGUGGU
This 887-nucleotide ribosomal RNA is filed under the name Epicoccum sorghinum. Its description in RNAcentral is "partial large subunit ribosomal RNA". It matches the Rfam family "Eukaryotic large subunit ribosomal RNA", at positions 47 to 955 of the family's 3401-position model. Lineage: Eukaryota; Fungi; Ascomycota; Dothideomycetes; Pleosporales; Didymellaceae. The record is from RNAcentral.